This is a long non-coding RNA of Salmo salar (Atlantic salmon), 1623 nucleotides long. RefSeq lists it as uncharacterized. The record is from RefSeq and is a predicted model, not a curated record. NCBI's taxonomy places the organism in Eukaryota, Metazoa, Chordata, Actinopteri, Salmoniformes, Salmonidae.
GUAUGUAAACUUCCGACUUCAACUGUAGUCAGUUGUAGAACUGAAUGCAUUCAACUGAAUUGUGUCUCCACAUUUAACCCAACCCCUCUGAAUCAGAGAGGUGCGAGGGGCUGCCUUAAAUCGACAUCCACGUCUUCGGUGCCUAGCUAGUUAACGUACAUCAGUUCAAAACCAACACCAAACGUUGGGCAAAUUGUCAUUACCUUACAAUGCAUGCAAUGGACUUUUGCAACACGAGCUAACUAUCUACUACAUAGUCCAAGUUACGGUUCACAGUGGUGGAUGUAGGGGCAUACGGCAGAAAAGCGAUGGUGGAGUGUUUUAAGAGAGUUAUUUUGGGUCCAAACUGCUGUAGAAGAUCCUCGAUUUACACCCGCCAGCUGUCCUGCCAGGUACCACAACGCCAAAUCCUCAUGUUUUCCUGGGAGAUGCAGCUUUCCCCCUACAUGAGAACCUCAUUUGCCCAUAUCCCGUUGUCCAUCUCAAUGAACCUGGGCGUACCUACAACUGCUGCCACUCUCGUUGUCGGAGAGUCAUAGAGAAUGCAUUCGGCAUCAUGGCUGCAAAGAUUAGGAUUCUUGGUUGUCCAAUCGAGUGUACCCCUGAAAAGGCUAAGAACAUUGUGAAGGCAUGUGUGGCCCUCCACAACAACCUGUCUUCCACAGAUGAAGCUCAUGAGCCAAACGCUAGAUACGUGCCUUCCGCUUUUGCUGACACGUCCCUCCCUUCUGGUAACUACCAACCUGGAGAGUGGAGGAGGGUUGUGGCAGAGGACAACAAUCUCCAAGAGCCAGGGAGACUCGGCUUGCAAGUGAAACAAGGAACAAGCUCAGGGACUUCUUCCUCUCCCCCCUGGACUUGCCAUGACAAGGUUAGGAGAGUACAACUCAACCCAAGGCCAGGAAAUACUGCAGAAUAGGCCUUUGUUUGGAUUGCAAACACACACACCCCUUGAUGGACUCACAGUUAUUUGUGUGCACUGUAAACCAAAGUACUUUGUACUAAAAUGCAGAGUUUUAAAUCUUGUUCAUAUAUUGAAACCUGAUUCUAUGACAUCUGUGCUCCCCAAGCUCUUGUUUAAGCCUGGGGUGGCAUAAGUCAUCACCUUUAACCCUCUACAGCUACACAUAUAUGUUUAUCAUCAUAUGAUUUCCUUUUCAUCACCAAGUAAUAUUAUAGAGUAUAGAGAGAAAACCCUGCAGGGCAUACCAUUUACGAUGUGGGAACUGGCACCUAGACCAAAAUGAAAGGAAGAAAAUGUAUAAAUCCAUUUGUACUGCUUGUUAUUGUUUUGACCAUUGCAACUGUCAACAGGAAGAAAUACCAAAAUGUAGCGUGCAGAGGCGUUUAUGUAAAUGAUUUGUGAGAUAUGCGUAAUGAAACCGCAUGGGAAUGUUUUUAAGGUGUUGUUAGUAAUGCAUUCAGCUACAAGUGUUCGUGCCCGACAAGACUAACGUAUAAAAUCAUAUCAGGAAAGGGUAACAAAAUGUGUAGGCCCAGGCCGGCGGAAAUACAAUCUUCGGCAAAAUCAUUCGCAAGGAGAUUCCUGCAAAAAUAUUAUUUGAAGAUGAACAUGUAAUAAAAAAAAAAAUGACUAAAAUGUAAUAAUUAUUAGUUUAUGAU